This 492-nucleotide ribosomal RNA is filed under the name uncultured bacterium. RNAcentral describes it as "partial 16S ribosomal RNA". It matches the Rfam family "Bacterial small subunit ribosomal RNA", at positions 29 to 507 of the family's 1533-position model. The record is from RNAcentral.
AGUGAACGCUGGCGGUAGGCCUAACACAUGCAAGUCGAACGGCAGCACAGUAAGAGCUUGCUCUUACGGGUGGCGAGUGGCGGACGGGUGAGGAAUACAUCGGAAUCUACUUUUUCGUGGGGGAUAACGUAGGGAAACUUACGCUAAUACCGCAUACGACCUACGGGUGAAAGCAGGGGAUCUUCGGACCUUGUGCGAUUGAAUGAGCCGAUGUCGGAUUAGCUAGUUGGCGGGGUAAAGGCCCACCAAGGCGACGAUCCGUAGCUGGUCUGAGAGGAUGAUCAGCCACACUGGAACUGAGACACGGUCCAGACUCCUACGGGAGGCAGCAGUGGGGAAUAUUGGACAAUGGGCGCAAGCCUGAUCCAGCCAUGCCGCGUGGGUGAAGAAGGCCUUCGGGUUGUAAAGCUCUUUUGUUGGGAAAGAAAAGCAGCAGGUUAAUACCCCGCUGUUCUGACGGUACCCAAAGAAUAAGCACCGGCUAACUUCGUG